CAGAAUGUGCGAGACCCUGUUUUGCCUCCCCGAGCUGAAGUUAAAAAUUAUUCAAUGUAAAAUUCCUGGCCUGUGAAACAGAGGCUCCGUACUGUACCAGGCAAAGAUUUUCACCAGCAUUCUCUUGCUUAGCCAAGGCGGAGAUAACAGGCACUGCAAAGCACUGGGAAUAAAUCUGCUCCUCCGAGAGCCCGCUGGGGUGUUCAUCUCCCACCUUGUUUUUCCUUUGCUUAAUAAGGUACUGUGUGAACCUAGAGUUGAGAUUUGACUUGACUUUUUUUUUCUUGAUGUGACCCAGGCUGAAUGAAGUUUGCUGGUGGUUUUUUUUUUUUUGCAUUUAAAUGACAAGAGCAACAGGAGAGAGCAAGAAGAUACAGCCAAGAUACUGGAGUUGCCCGUGGCUUUCCAGGAAGACCAGAAGGACUUGAGCUCUCCAUGCAAAUGGAUUCCCGAGCUAUCAGGAGGAGAGGUGCGCGGGGAGCAGCCGGGAGCGCAGCGUGCCCAGCUCCAUGUGCCUCCCACCAGCAGCUCUCGCCUGCCCGGGCACGCAUGGAGCACGCCGUGCUGCCUGAUGGCAUACGAAACCACCAGGUGGCUCCGGCACACCCUGACUCCUGCAUUCAAAUACAAGAGAGAGGUGCAGGAAGGGGUGCCGUGACCUCAUUUCAUGGAGCAGGAUGGGACCAUCGCUCCACCAGCUGAGAAAAUGAACGUGGACCUGCCACGGACACGCGCUGGAUUUUUCGUGGGGGGACGCUGUACCUGAGCCACAAGGCAGGUGAGUGCUGCAGCUCCUGGCCCAGUCCGAAGAUGAGGAGGGACGCUGGUGCUAGGAAAACUCUGUCCUGGCUCAACAAAAGUCUGGAGGCUUGAAUUAGGCCUGUUUUUACAGACUGGAGGGCUUAGCCAAAGCUAACUUAGGCAGAGAGCCUUUCUGCCCGCAGCAUACAACCCCCAGCUCAGCACGGAGGCACCUGUCUUCACCCAAGGCUGGUAAUCAAAUAAUCGAUGUGCAUAUUCAGCCCAACCCAGAGCAAUAAUUUGCACAAAAUAAAACAGCAGCAUUGCAUGUCCA
RNAcentral lists this long non-coding RNA (1075 nucleotides) under Anser brachyrhynchus (Pink-footed goose). Its description in RNAcentral is "lncRNA (ENSABRG00000007187.1)". Lineage: Eukaryota; Metazoa; Chordata; Aves; Anseriformes; Anatidae. The record is from RNAcentral.